RNAcentral lists this ribosomal RNA (569 nucleotides) under Salmonella enterica. RNAcentral's name for it is "partial 23S ribosomal RNA". It matches the Rfam family "Bacterial large subunit ribosomal RNA", at positions 711 to 1277 of the family's 2925-position model. The record is from RNAcentral. Lineage: Bacteria; Pseudomonadati; Pseudomonadota; Gammaproteobacteria; Enterobacterales; Enterobacteriaceae. RNAcentral also lists the same sequence under 1 other name.
AGACCCGAAACCCGGUGAUCUAGCCAUGGGCAGGUUGAAGGUUGGGUAACACUAACUGGAGGACCGAACCGACUAAUGUUGAAAAAUUAGCGGAUGACCUGUGGCUGGGGGUGAAAGGCCAAUCAAACCGGGAGAUAGCUGGUUCUCCCCGAAAGCUAUUUAGGUAGCGCCUCGUGAAUUCAUCUCCGGGGGUAGAGCACUGUUUCGGCUAGGGGGCCAUCCCGGCUUACCAACCCGAUGCAAACUGCGAAUACCGGAGAAUGUUAUCACGGGAGACACACGGCGGGUGCUAACGUCCGUCGUGAAGAGGGAAACAACCCAGACCGCCAGCUAAGGUCCCAAAGUCAUGGUUAAGUGGGAAACGAUGUGGGAAGGCCCAGACAGCCAGGAUGUUGGCUUAGAAGCAGCCAUCAUUUAAAGAAAGCGUAAUAGCUCACUGGUCGAGUCGGCCUGCGCGGAAGAUGUAACGGGGCUAAACCAUGCACCGAAGCUGCGGCAGCGACACUGUGUGUUGUUGGGUAGGGGAGCGUUCUGUAAGCCUGUGAAGGUGUGUCGUGAGGCAUGCUGGA